GCGUUCGUGGCGUAAGAGCAACGCGCCGGUCUGCCAGUCCGGAGUCGGGAGUGCGAGUCUCCCCGAGCGCACCA
RNAcentral lists this transfer RNA (74 nucleotides) under Verrucomicrobiota bacterium. Its description in RNAcentral is "Verrucomicrobia bacterium (groundwater metagenome) tRNA-Gly". It matches the Rfam family "tRNA". From Rfam's summary of the family: Transfer RNA (tRNA) molecules are approximately 80 nucleotides in length. Their secondary structure includes four short double-helical elements and three loops (D, anti-codon, and T loops). Further hydrogen bonds mediate the characteristic L-shaped molecular structure. tRNAs have two regions of fundamental functional importance: the anti-codon, which is responsible for specific mRNA codon recognition, and the 3' end, to which the tRNAs corresponding amino acid is attached (by aminoacyl-tRNA synthetases). tRNAs cope with the degeneracy of the genetic code in two manners: having more than one tRNA (with a specific anti-codon) for a particular amino acid; and 'wobble' base-pairing, i.e. permitting non-standard base-pairing at the 3rd anti-codon position. RNAcentral also lists the same sequence under 1 other name. Lineage: Bacteria; Pseudomonadati; Verrucomicrobiota. The record is from RNAcentral.